UAAGAGCGGCGGACGGGUGAGUAACGCGUGGGUAACCUACCCUGUACACACGGAUAACAUACCGAAAGGUAUGCUAAUACGGGAUAAUAUAUUUGAGAGGCACCUCUUGAAUAUCAAAGGUGAGCCAGUACAGGAUGGACCCGCGUCUGAUUAGCUAGUUGGUAAGGUAACGGCUUACCAAGGCGACGAUCAGUAGCCGACCUGAGAGGGUGAUCGGCCACAUUGGAACUGAGACACGGUCCAAACUCCUACGGGAGGCAGCAGUGGGGAAUAUUGCACAAUGGGCGGAAGCCUGAUGCAGCAACGCCGCGUGAGUGAUGAAGGCCUUCGGGUCGUAAAACUCUGUCCUCAAGGAAGAUAAUGACGGUACUUGAGGAGGAAGCCCCGGCUAACUACGUGCCAGCAGCCGCGGUAAUACGUAGGGGGCUAGCGUUAUCCGGAUUUACUGGGCGUAAAGGGUGCGUAGGCGGUCUUUCAAGUCAGGAGUGAAAGGCUACGGCUCAACCGUAGUAAGCUCUUGAAACUGGGAGACUUGAGUGCAGGAGAGGAGAGUGGAAUUCCUAGUGUAGCGGUGAAAUGCGUAGAUAUUAGGAGGAACACCAGUUGCGAAGGCGGCUCUCUGGACUGUAACUGACGCUGAGGCACGAAAGCGUGGGGAGCAAACAGGAUUAGAUACCCUGGUCGUC
RNAcentral lists this ribosomal RNA (686 nucleotides) under uncultured bacterium. RNAcentral's name for it is "bacterial SSU rRNA". It matches the Rfam family "Bacterial small subunit ribosomal RNA", at positions 90 to 795 of the family's 1533-position model. The record is from RNAcentral.